RNAcentral lists this ribosomal RNA (687 nucleotides) under uncultured bacterium. Its description in RNAcentral is "bacterial SSU rRNA". It matches the Rfam family "Bacterial small subunit ribosomal RNA", at positions 140 to 804 of the family's 1533-position model. The record is from RNAcentral.
GGGACAACAUCCCGAAAGGGGUGCUAAUACCGAAUGUGACAGUAAUCUCGCAUGAGGAUGCUGUGAAAGAUGGCCUCUAUUUAUAAGCUAUCGCUAGAGGAUGGGCCUGCGUCUGAUUAGCUAGUUGGUGGGGUAACGGCCUACCAAGACGAUGAUCAGUAGCCGGUCUGAGAGGAUGAACGGCCACAUUGGGACUGAGACACGGCCCAGACUCCUACGGGAGGCAGCAGUGGGGAAUCUUCCGCAAUGGGCGAAAGCCUGACGGAGCAAUGCCGCGUGAGUGAUGAAGGAAUUCGUUCCGUAAAGCUCUUUUGUUUAUGACGAAUGUGCAGAUUGUGAAUAAUGAUCUGUAAUGACGGUAGUAAACGAAUAAGCCACGGCUAACUACGUGCCAGCAGCCGCGGUAAUACGUAGGUGGCGAGCGUUGUCCGGAAUUAUUGGGCGUAAAGAGCAUGUAGGCGGUUUUUUAAGUCUGGAGUGAAAAUGCGGGGCUCAACCCCGUAUGGCUCUGGAUACUGGAAGACUUGAGUGCAGGAGAGGAAAGGGGAAUUCCCAGUGUAGCGGUGAAAUGCGUAGAUAUUGGGAGGAACACCAGUGGCGAAGGCGCCUUUCUGGACUGUGUCUGACGCUGAGAUGCGAAAGCCAGGGUAGCGAACGGGAUUAGAUACCCCGGUAGUCCUGGCCGUA